GAAAAAGAGAUGCAGAGAAAA
This 21-nucleotide non-coding RNA is filed under the name Caenorhabditis elegans. Lineage: Eukaryota; Metazoa; Nematoda; Chromadorea; Rhabditida; Rhabditidae. The record is from RNAcentral.